This 1706-nucleotide ribosomal RNA is filed under the name Protanguilla palau. RNAcentral describes it as "16S rRNA". It matches the Rfam family "Bacterial large subunit ribosomal RNA". The record is from RNAcentral. Lineage: Eukaryota; Metazoa; Chordata; Actinopteri; Anguilliformes; Protanguillidae.
GCAAAACAGCUAGCCUAAACAUAAAAACAAAUACCCAACCAUAUAUAUCUAUACACAUACACAACCAAACUAAACCAUUCUCCCACCUCAGUAUGGGCGACAGAAAAGGAAAACCAUUCGAGCUAUAGAAAAAGUACCGCAAGGGAAAGCUGAAAGAGAAAUGAAACAACCCAUAAAAGCAACAAAAAGCAGAGACUAAAACUCGUACCUUUUGCAUCAUGAUUUAGCAAGCAAGCCCCAAGCAAAGAGAACUUAAGUUUGGAACCCCGAAACUAGACGAGCUACUCCGAGGCAGCCUUUAGGGCCAACCCGUCUCUGUGGCAAAAGAGUGGGAAGACCUCCGAGUAGAGGUGACAAGCCUAUCGAGCCUAGUUAUAGCUGGUUGCUUAAGAAAUGAAUGUUAGUUCAGCCUUAUGUAAUUCUCAAAUCAAAACAUCAACAAUAAGAACACCGCAAUACAUAAGAGUUAGUCAAAGGGGGGAUAGCCCCUUUGAAACAGGACACAACCUUCCAAGGAGGACAAGGAUCACAAUCUUUAAGGUACUUCACCCCAGUAGGCCUAGAAGCAGCCACCUGUGCUAGAAAGCGUUAAAGCUCCAGUGAAAAACAACUAAACCUGUAAUAAGGAUAACAUCUCCCAAUCCCCUAAAAAUAUUAAGCCAUUCUAUGCCCACAUAGAAGAGAUAAUGCUAAAAUCAGUAAUAAGAAGGAGUACAAGACCUUCUCCUUGCACAAGUGUAAGUCAGAUCGGACCAACCACUGACAAUCAACGAGCCCAAUAGAGGGAAAUACAACAACCACAAGACAAACAAGAAAAUCAUGUACAAAACAAUCGUUAACCCUACACAGGAGUGCACUCAAAGGAAAGACUAAAAGGAGAAGAAGGAACUCGGCAAACACAAACCCCGCCUGUUUACCAAAAACAUCGCCUCUUGCUAAUCCAAAGAAGUAUUAGAGGUCCUACCUGCCCUGUGACCUGCGUGUUCAACGGCCGCGGUAUCCUGACCGUGCGAAGGUAGCGUAAUCACUUGUCUUUUAAAUAAAGACCCGUAUGAAUGGUUUCACGAGGGUUUGACUGUCUCCUCCUCCCAGUCAAUGAAAUUGAUCUACCCGUGCAGAAGCGGGUAUAACAACAUAAGACGAGAAGACCCUAUGGAGCUUUAGGCAAAAGGUCAAACAUGCAAAACAGACCUGCAAAUCAAAAUAAAAAGUCUCACCCAGCCAAAAUGUAAAUGACCCAAUAUGCCUUCGGUUGGGGCGACCGCGGAGAAAAACAAAACCCCCGCACGGAAUGGGGAAACCCCCUAAACCAAGAGGCACACCUCUAAGUAACAGAACAUCUGACCAAAACGACCCAGGACCCACCUUACACCUGAUCAAUGAACCAAGUUACCCUAGGGAUAACAGCGCAAUCCUUUCCCAGAGUCCAUAUCGACGAAAGGGUUUACGACCUCGAUGUUGGAUCAGGACAUCCUAAUAGUGCAGCCGCCAUUAAGGGUUCGUUUGUUCAACGAUUAACAGUCCUACGUGAUCUGAGUUCAGACCGGAGUAAUCCAGGUCGGUUUCUAUCUAUGAAACCUUACCUCUUCCCAGUACGAAAGGACAGGAAAAGGAGGGCCAAUGCUAAAAGUAAGCCCCACUUCAAACUACUGAAAACAAAUAAAGUAGACAAAGAAGUAAGAUACACCAACCAAAGAUAAUGGUAU